This 3311-nucleotide long non-coding RNA is filed under the name Homo sapiens (human). Its description in RNAcentral is "HSALNT0036637". Lineage: Eukaryota; Metazoa; Chordata; Mammalia; Primates; Hominidae. The record is from RNAcentral.
CGCUUUAUUCUCACUCUCCCUCUUCUUCUCUUUCUAUUUACACACAGGCACAUAGACAUAGACAUAGACAUAGACAUAGACAUAGACAUAGACAUAGACAUAGACAUAGACCCAGACCGAGACCAAGACCUAGACCUAGACACAGACACAGACACAGACCUAGACCUAGACCUAGACAUACACAUAGACACAGACAGAGACACAGACACAGACACAAACACAACCACAGACACAGCCACAGACACAGCCACAGACACAGACACAGACACAGACACAGACACAGACACAGCACAGCCACAGACACAGACACAGAGAGAUAUACACGUAGACAUAGACCUAGACACAGACACAGACACCGACAUGGGACACAGACAGGGGACAAAGACACAGACAUAGACAUAGGCCUAGACACCGACACAGACACCGACACAGACACAGCCACAGCCACAGCCAGACACAGACACAGACAUGGGACACAGACAGGGGACAAAGACACAGACAUAGACAUAGGCCUAGACACCGACACAGACACCGACACAGACACAGCCACAGCCACAGCCAGACACAGACACAGACAUGGGACACAGACAGGGGACAAAGACACAGACAUAGACAUAGGCCUAGACACCGACACAGACACAGCCACAGCCACAGCCAGACACAGACACAGACAUGGGACACAGACAGGGGACAAAGACACAGACAUAGACAUAGGCCUAGACACUGACACAGACACCGACACAGACACAGACACAGCCACAGCCAGACACAGACACAGACAUGGGACACAGACAGGGGACAAAGACACAGACAUAGACAUAGGCCUAGACACUGACACAGACACCGACACAGACACAGACACAGCCACAGCCAGACACAGACACAGAUAUAGACAUAGACACAGACACAGACAUAGACAUAGACACCGACACAGACACAGACACAAACACAGACACAGACAUAGGCACAGACACAGACACAGACAGAGAUAUACAUGUAGACAUAGACCUAGACAUAGACCCAGGCAGAGACACAGACACAGACACAGACCUAGACCUAGACACAGACACAGACACAGACCUAGACCUAGACUUAGACAUACACACAGACACAGACACAGACACACCCGCAGACACAGACACACAGACACAGACACAGACACAGACACAGACACAGACACACAGACACAGACAUAGACAUAGACAUAUUUUCUCCUGGAACACCUGAAAGUUGCAGACAUCAUCAAACUUCACCUCUGAAUACUUCAGAAUACAUGCAGGAAUACAUUUUUUUAACAGAUUGAGAAACUAGUAAGUAAACGAUAGCUCCAGAAAGGAAUUUUCCAGCAUGUAGAAGGAGUAACAAUUUUUUUUGAUAAUAUAUUUGAAUAUAUCUGGACUGAAUUCACCUAGAAGAUGAAACUCUUCUCUAUUUCUAUCAUUACCUUGUUCCCAGAAGUUUUUAGGCAACUGUCUCAUCUCUGAGUCAGGUGGCACAGUCAUUCAAAGAACAAAAACACGGUGGCAGGUGCUGAAUGUUAAUGAAGUCACAUAGCUAUCAGGCUUUACACCUAUCACUGAGUCACUUCUAGUGUGUAAAAUGAAUUCCUAGGAGCCCGAACAUGUUUUACGCAUGUCGUAUAAAUUCUUUGAAACCCAUGAGGAAAUAAAUAUUUACAUCAAAAUUAACCUGGAAAUUUUUUAUAAAUUCAAAGGUGAAACAAUAUAGAAUGUAUUUUUUAACUAAGCCCUAGGAAAUAACAGAAUUUUAAGAGGGAAGACUUUCUAGACUCAGAUACAGAGAAAUACAUGACCAGGUUUCAGUCAGCUUUUAUUGAAAAAUGUGCUGGCUCAAAACAAAAACCUAGAUGAGUUGUCCAGAAACUGCUUUUGUUCUAUAGGAAAGAAAAAAGCUAGACAAGGAAUGAGCUUCCAAGCAGCAGGCUGAGACUGUUCCUGGUCUGCAUAGCUGUGUCAGAAUGAUAGCUGGCGAUGUCCUGGACACUAGCCUCCCAUCCCUGGUGGGGUCUGGUGAGACAGAUCACUUCCUGGAGGCCACGUUGCAGGGAGACCCAUCUUUGGCAGAAUAGGGCAUUAGGCCACAUUGGGCUGAAUCUCAGAGGAGCAAAUCGGCAGAAACUGAUACAGAUGGUUCCACCAAGGCAUAGGCGCUCUCUUUAUACUGUCUGCCAGCAAACAUCCCUUCUCGCUAAAACCACCACUGAAGUGUCUCUUAGUCAGUGGUUCUUGGGACAGAAGUUGGUCAAGUUCAGUCAACCAACUCAACUCAUGUUUUCGCUCAUUCAAAUCCUGUAUCAACAUUCCAUUCCCUGUGAGUCUGGGUCAUUCCAAGCCCCCAGCAGGCUGGACCAUCAACAAACACUUGCUUCACCUGCCUCCUGCAUUAGACCCUGCCCUGACUGACACCCAGCAAGACCACUCCUCUAGCCUGGAACAGUUACCAUCCUCCUCCAAAAUGACUGAUGAGGAAGCUCUACCUGUGAGGCCCUAGGCAUCUGCAGGGCAAACCCACAGGCUUCAAAUUCUCCCAGCCUGGUAUUUGUGUAAGAGGAAUGCACUACCCUGAACAACUCCAGAGGACAAAACUCAUGAGUCUGGUAGAGCUCAGCAUCCCCAUUAUAAACACGGAGCAAUGGAAAUAGACUUGGGUACAUUAAGUCACUUGUCCAAGGUCACAGAGCUAAGGAAUGACAAAUAGGAUGUAAACCCAAGCCUACACAAUCCUUGGUUUUGGCACUCGUUCUCUGCUCUGUAAAAGCAUCAACACCUGGAGCUAGAGGGGCCUCCAGAAGCCAUUAAGUCUAUCUGCCCACCCAAACAGUCUUCUGAAACCCAGCAUCCUCUAUAGAAGACAAGCUUACCCCAUCACGAGAUGCACACUGCCAGUCUUGGGAAGUAUCCAUAAUUAGAAAUGUCUGCCAUUUUGGAUCCCAAAAUUUCCUCCCUCUUAACUUCAUUUAUUAGUCAUAUUCGACCCUGUGGGGAAGCUCCAAAGAAGUCUGUCUACACCUUCCAAUAACUUUGAGAGUUAGAAAGUGUAUACAGAAGAGCACAGUGUACCUGGACAGAGAAGUGGGAAUCCUGCCUUCCUUCCUGCCAGCAGCAGGGUGGUGGGCAGGUUACAUUACCUGUGUGAGGCUCAGUCUCCUCAUCUGUGAAAUGGGCAUACCCUGGUGUGCACUACAGGAGGAGUAGAUGUCACACCAUAUGUAAUGAGCUCAGCAGUGCUGCAAAAAGAAAGUGUUCAACAAGCAGUAGCUCUCAUCAGUGUUUUACAGAAGCAGAGCCCGG